Molecule: ribosomal RNA, 254 nt
Filed under: uncultured bacterium
Lineage: Bacteria
Description: partial 16S ribosomal RNA
Rfam family: Bacterial small subunit ribosomal RNA
Source: RNAcentral
UACGUAGGGUGCGAGCGUUGUCCGGAAUUAUUGGGCGUAAAGAGCUUGUAGGCGGUUUGUCGCGUCUGCCGUGAAAGCCCAGGGCUUAACCCUGGGUCUGCGGUGGGUACGGGCAGACUAGAGUGUGGUAGGGGAGACUGGAAUUCCUGGUGUAGCGGUGAAAUGCGCAGAUAUCAGGAGGAACACCGGUGGCGAAGGCGGGUCUCUGGGCCGAUACUGACGCUGAGGAGCGAAAGCGUGGGGGAGCGAACAGG